GAGAGGGUGGAGUGGAUGAAGAGGAGCGCAGCGUGGUCAGAGGAGGGAGGAGGAGGAGGAGGAGGGGUUUUCAUGGCCAGGGGGAGAGCAGGCCUGACUGGGCAGCGACAGAGACGCUUAGUGCCGCCUGGCUUCCUCCUAAAGACUCGGCCUCCUUUCCCCCCAAAGUGUCUCCUCUCUUUCCUCCGCCACCACUCUCUCCUUCACUCUCCUCUUUCCUCCUUUUGUUCCCUUCUCUCCUUCACCCUCCAGUUCCUCCCGUUCGCUCUCCUUUUCUCCCCUCCAUUUCUCUCA
Molecule: non-coding RNA, 294 nt
Organism: Xyrichtys novacula (pearly razorfish)
Lineage: Eukaryota; Metazoa; Chordata; Actinopteri; Labriformes; Labridae
Source: the annotation of a GenBank genome assembly